GAUGAACGCUGGCGGCGUGCCUAAUACAUGCAAGUCGAGCGAACGGACGAGAAGCUUGCUUCUCUGAUGUUAGCGGCGGACGGGUGAGUAACACGUGGAUAACCUACCUAUAAGACUGGGAUAACUUCGGGAAACCGGGGCUAAUACCGGAUAAUAUUUUGAACCGCAUGGUUCAAAAGUGAAAGACGGUCUUGCUGUCACUUAUAGAUGGAUCCGCGCUGCAUUAGCUAGUUGGUAAGGUAACGGCUUACCAAGGCAACGAUGCAUAGCCGACCUGAGAGGGCGAUCGGCCACACUGGAACUGAGACACGGUCCAGACUCCUACGGGAGGCAGCAGUAGGGAAUCUUCCGCAAUGGGCGAAAGCCUGACGGAGCAACGCCGCGUGAGUGAUGAAGGUCUUCGGAUCGUAAAACUCUGUUAUUAGGGAAGAACAUAUGUGUAAGUAACUGUGCACAUCUUGACGGUACCUAAUCAGAAAGCCACGGCUAACUACGUG
This 497-nucleotide ribosomal RNA is filed under the name uncultured bacterium. RNAcentral describes it as "partial 16S ribosomal RNA". It matches the Rfam family "Bacterial small subunit ribosomal RNA", at positions 28 to 507 of the family's 1533-position model. The record is from RNAcentral.